This 246-nucleotide long non-coding RNA is filed under the name Vitis vinifera (wine grape). RNAcentral describes it as "long non-coding RNA (VVIN_LNC004982)". The record is from RNAcentral. Lineage: Eukaryota; Viridiplantae; Streptophyta; Magnoliopsida; Vitales; Vitaceae.
CAAAUGCAAAACUUUACACUAUGGCAGAGCUUCAAUUAGUUGGGAACAACAAUCAUCUUCUUGGAGUUGACCUUAAACUAUCAUGCUAUUUUGUAGAUGACCAUGCUUUUGUUAGUUUUAUAACAAUUGUUCUUGUUGUAAGCAUGAUUGCAAACACUAGGAUGUAAUCCAAACUACAAUAAGUUUAAGCCAUCCAAACAUUGUAGCAUUUCUUAGGUAUUGUGUAGAGCAUGGACAACAUCUCCU